GGGGCCGAGGGGGCGCGGCUCCCGGCGGCCCCCGGGGCUGCGGGGUCUUGCCUACAGGCUUCUCGCAGUCGGCAGCUGAAAUCACCUCGUCUGCUCCCCACCGCUUGCCUGGUUCUGCAUCCCCACUCUGCCCAGGGGUCCCCUAUCUGAGCGCGCGGGAACCCGAAGAAAAGACUGAACCGCGUUAAAGCGGGGAGUGGCAGAGGCCUUUGGGCCUUUCGGAGCCCCUCUAAAAACAAGAACAAUAUGAAAAUGGCUUGAAUCCCGACUCCUUCACUGACUCGCCGUAAGAUCCUGUGGCUGCUGAGCCUCAAUUUUCUCCGUUGUACAAUGCAGACCUUGUCUGCAGAGCUGUUGCAUGCAGGUGGAGUUCCAUAGAUGCAGACUUGUGCCCAAGCGGAAGAGAAUGGAGGCCUCUACGGAGCUUCUUCGGGGUCUCUAGAACGUGCAGCUUGGCUCUUGGCCAACCCGCACUCCCUUGGAAACCCGGUGGAGAGAAUGUGGCAAGUCUAGGCUCCAAGCUGGCCCAGGGAUUAGGCCACUGUGUUUGGGGAUGGGCUUUCUGCUGCCUGCCAGGUCCCAGGCUCCCUCUUCCCUGGAUGGAGCUGGGGAACCCUGCCAAGUUCUCGCUCCAACCUUCCAACAUUCGUUUAUUCAGUGAAUAUUUAUCGAUGCCCGCUGGGGACUUUGGUGGCACUGGAAACAGAGUCGCACUUAGGCUUGCAACAGGGAGACCAAGGACUUUUUGUGCAAUCUCAACCGAAUAUGAUAACUGCGCUGGCGCCUCCCUGCAGCUGCUCUGGCCCCUCUCCAGGCUGCUCUGGGGCCUCGGAAACCCUGACCUGUUCCUGGUUCUCUAGAGGUCGUAGGAAAAACACCCACCCCUCACCCUGGUCUACAGGGUAUUCUUUUGUUGUUGUUGUAUUUAAGAUUUUAUUUAUUUAUUUGAGAGAGAGAGAGAGAGAGAGAACAUGAGAGGGGAGAGGUCAGAGGGAAAAGUAGACUCCCCACCAAGCAGAGAGCCCAAUGUGAGACUUGAUCCCAGGACUCCAGGAUCAUGACCUAAGCAGAAGGCAGUUGCUUAACCAACUGUGCCACCCAGGCGCCCUGUCUACAGGGUAGUCUUAUCAGGCCUGUGCCAACCUGUCCAGCCACAUCCCCCUGUACUCCCCUUAUCCCCAUCCAGCAACACUGGUCUUCCUUCUGUUCCUCAAAUGUUCUCACUUUACUUCCAACCACAGGGCCUUUACACUGGCUGUUUUCUGGUCUGGAAUGUCCUUCCAUCACAUCUCCCAAUACUAGCCUUUUCUGAUCAUUUAGGUCUUUGUUUAAAUGCCCCCUCCUCCAAGAGACCUUUCGGUACCCUGUCAUAUUUAUUAAAAAUAUGGCCCUGUUUUCUUUAUUUUAACUGUCACUCCUCUCUGAAAUUGCUCAACAUUUGGCCUAUGCUCACUCAGUCUUUGCAGAAUGUGUGAGCGGACACAGUGUGAGGUGUCAGAAGAACGGUAUCCCAAGACAGCCCAUGCCUUAAGGAGGCAACUGCCCUACUGUGGGAGAGGCAGAAGGGCUGGCACGAAGGACAAAUUGGGAAAUUACAAGGGCGGUAAAGAUGAAUAGGGUGUCUCACUGAAGGAAAAGCAGGGCAAUGUCCUAGAAGAGGUGAGGGAGAACCUGGGAUGUCCUGAUUCUUCGCCUCAUCUCCAUUCCGUGGCCCUCAUUCAUACCACUCUGGUCGGAUGGUCACCACCCCUCAAAAAUGCUUAUUCCUAUUAUUCCUCAUCCCUUAUUCCAGGGCCUCUGCCUGCCAUAUUUUCCUUCUCCUCUUGGCAUUCUUUCUUCUCCACUUCAUUUCCAUCUUGGCUCAAAUGCCUCCUUAGAGAAGUACUCCCUGACUGCGUCUCUACCUAAAGCAGGCCCCACCCCAUCUCUACUAAACUCUACCCCUCACACUGCUCCAUUUUUUUCUUCCUUGCAAAUUUUAAUAGACUUUACUUUAUUUUCUUUCUUGUCUGUCUCAAUCAGGAUGUCAGCUCUCCAAGAACAGGGAUCAUUGUCUGUCUUUUCACUGCUGAGUCCCCAGCUUCUAGAACAGUGUCUAGCACAUGGAAAGUGCUGGAAUAAAUAGCUGUGGGAUGUACAGGUGGUUGAACAAGCAGAGCAUCAUGGGGUAUGGCUGCAGGGUUUAGUGCUGAUGAACCUGGAGCAGGGACAGUCUCCAGAUACCACAGAUGAUGGGGAUGGAGGGCCUCCAGCACCUCCCUGAAGUUCGAACUUGACCCUGAGGAUUGUGGGUGCUGCUGACGGAUUCUUAGCAGAGGAGGAACUGAAUGAGGAUUCUUUCUCAAAAGGCUCUUUGCAAACCAAGUCUCCCACCAGCCAACUGGGGGUCAGAAAAAGAAAUGGGAGUAGAUUCAUCUGAUACUAGAAAGGCUAAAUGUAUCAACAAAGCUAAACUCAAAAACUUUGGGUUGAGGGGGACAAAAAAAAAAAAAAGUAGAAAAAAAUGAUACAGGGGCUCCUGGGUGGCUCAGUGAGUUAAAGCCUCUGCCUUUGGCUCAGGUCAUGAUCCCAGCUUCCUAGGAUCAUGCCCAGGAUAGUACUGCAUUGUGCCCCCAAAUAGGCUCUCUGCUCAGCGGGGAGCCUGCUUUCCUUCCUCUCUCUGCCUGCCUCUAGGCUGACUUGUGAUCUCUGUCUGUCAAAUAAAUAAAUAAAAUCUUUUUAAAAAGAAAGAAAGACAUGAUACAAUUUGACACUGCUUAUAUCAAUUACUGAAAAACAGAAAGUGAAACUAUGUAUCAAGUUUAUUUUUAAAAAGGGGCGGGGGCAGGGAGAAACAUGUUCCUGGUGUGCCUGGCACCCACGAUGAGGUGAGUGAGGUGAGUGAGGUCAUCUCCGUUCAAAUCCCGGCCCCACUACACACACGAACAGUACGAUUCUGCGAUUCUGGGCAAGCUAUUUCUCUGCUCUGUGCUUCAGUUUCUUCAUCUGUGAGACAGGCUGAUAGAGGGGCACCUGCCCUCAUAGGGCUGCUGGGAAGCUUAAAUGAAUUAAUUCUUGUAAAGCGCAGAACAAAGGGUCAGUUCAGUGUCAUCCUUUUUUUUUCCCCCCAGUGUCAUUCUUUUUAUUUAGGUUGUUGUUUCUGCAGUGGGGCAGUCAAGGGGAAGUGGGAAAGUGAACGUAGGUGACUUUUAUUUUAACUAUAAGGUGUGUCUUUUAAUUUUGAUCUUUGAUUGUUAAUUAUUUUGAUUGAGGCACAACUUAACAUCUGGUGAAGUGCACAGAUCCUUUGGUGUGAAGCUCUGUGAUUUAAAAAAUAUAUAUUAUUUAUUUAUUUAUUUAAGAAAGUCAGAAAGAGAGAGAGAAGAGGGAGGAGUAGAGGGAGAGGGCAAGUGGACUUUGCACUGAGCGACCCAGGGUUCCAUCCCAUGACACUUAGAUCAUGACCUGAGCUGCAAUCAGUAGUCAGAAGCUUAACCAACUGAGCCACCCAGGUCCCCCACUCUGUGAAUUUUUAUAUAUGUCUGCACAUACAUAUAUGUGGCCUAUGGCCACCGUCUCGUCUUCUCCCCAUUGUAUGCAUUUGACUUGUGUCUUUUGCCAGGCAACCUUAGGGAAAUUCUAUCAUCAUAGAUUAAUUUUGCCUGUACUUGAAUUUCGUACCACAUGGGAUUGUUUUAUAAUUUUUUUAAAUUUAUUUUUUCGACAGACAGAGAUCACAAGUAGGCAGAGAGGCAGGUAGAGAGAGAGGAGGAAGCAGGCUCCCCGCCAAGGAGAGAGCCCGAUGUGGGGCUCGAUCCCAGGACCCUGGGAUCAUGACCUGAGCCGAAGGCAGAGGCUUAACCCUCUGAGCCACCCAGGGGCCUCUGUUUUAUGAUUUUUUAAAAAUAUCUGUGUUUUUUAUGCCUGGAUUCUUUCACUCAACAUGUUUUGUUUUUUCUAUUGAAAUUAAAUUCAUGUACCAUAAAAUUUCCCUUUCUUAAGUGUACGAUCUGUCUGAUUUUUCAAUAUAUUCACAAAAACAUGAUUUUUAUUAAUUUUACUUAUUUAUUUUUCGUACACCCAACUUGGGGCUCGAACUCAUGACCCCGAUCAAGAGUCAUGCUUUUCAGGGCGCCUGGGUGGCUCAGUGGUUUGGGCUGCUGCCUUCGGCUCAGGUCAUGAUCUCGGGGUCCUGGGAUUGAGUCCCGCAUCAGGCUGCUGAGCGGGGAGCCUGCUUUCCUCUCUCUCUGCCUGCCUCUCUGUCUACUGUGAUCUCUCUCUGUCAAAUAAAUAAAUAACAUCUUUAAAAAAUAAUAAUAAAUUUAAAAAAAAAAAGAGUCAUGCUUUUCAGACUGAGCCAGCCAGGUGCCCCAAGAACAUGAUGUGUUUUUGAGAUUCAUCCAUGAUAUUGUAUAUAUCAAUAAUUUAUUCCUUUUUACAUGCCAGGAUAUGGAUGGACCACAGUUUCUUCUUUUAUUAAUAGUUGAUUAUGUAUGUAUAUAUGUAUGAAUGUAUGAGUGUGUGUAUGUAUUUAAUUGAAUAUAGUUGACAUAAAUAUUAUGUUGUAUGUAAUAUUAAUUUCAGAUGUACAAUAUAGUGACUUGACAAUUAUAUGCAUUAUGAAAUGCUCCCCACUGAUGAAUAGUUACCAUCUGUUCCCAUACAAAUUGUUGUCUAUAUUCCAUAUGCUGUACUUUUCGUCCUGUGACUUAUUUAUUUUAAAACUGGAAGUUUGGGGGCGCUUGGGUGGCUCAGUGGGUUGAGCCGCUGCCUUCGGCUCGGGUCGGGAUCUCGGGGUCCUGGGAUCGAGUCCCGCGUCGGGCUUUCUGCUCAGCAGGGAGCCUGCUUCCCUCUCUCUCUCUGCCUGCCUCUCUGUCUGCUGUGAUCUCUGUCUGUCAAAUAAACAAAUAAAAUCUUUAAAAAAAAAA
Molecule: long non-coding RNA, 4907 nt
Organism: Mustela lutreola (European mink)
Lineage: Eukaryota; Metazoa; Chordata; Mammalia; Carnivora; Mustelidae
Exons: 3
Source: RefSeq, a predicted model, not a curated record